GACGAAGGGGGCUAGCGUUGUUCGGAAUUACUGGGCGUAAAGCGCGUGUAGGCGGUUGCCAAAGUCGGGUGUGAAAGCCUUGAGCUCAACUCAAGAAAUGCACUCGAUACUGGGUGACUAGAGGACCGGAGAGGAUAGUGGAAUUCCCAGUGUAGUGGUGAAAUACGUAGAGAUUGGGAAGAACACCAGUGGCGAAGGCGGCUAUCUGGACGGUUUCUGACGCUAAGACGCGAAAGCGUGGGGAGCAAACAGG
This 253-nucleotide ribosomal RNA is filed under the name uncultured bacterium. Its description in RNAcentral is "partial 16S ribosomal RNA". It matches the Rfam family "Bacterial small subunit ribosomal RNA", at positions 524 to 776 of the family's 1533-position model. The record is from RNAcentral.